AGUAUGGCAAAGGUGACCAGUGAGCCACAGAAGCCUAAUGAAGAUGUGGACGAACAGACCCCAUCAACCUCAAGUACCAAAGGGAGGAAGAAGGGGAAGACACCCCGUCAACGAAGGUCCAGAAGCGGCGUUAAGGGCCUAAAGACCACCAGGAAGGCGAAAAGACCCCUUCGAGGGAGCUCGAGCCAAAAAGCCGGUGAAACUAACACCCCUGCAGGAAAACCUAAGAAAGCUAGAGGACCAAUACUGCGUGGUCGUUAUCACCGGCUGAAAGAAAAAAUGAAGAAAGAAGAGGCCGACAAAGAGCAAAGCGAGACCUCAGUUCUGUGAUGUCUCUAGAGGUCCGCCACUGAAAAGUCAUCAAUCAUACAGUCAGUGAAUUCUACACCAACAGGUUAAAACCAUGAAAAUAAAAUCAACCUGAAUCGAAA
Molecule: long non-coding RNA, 431 nt
Filed under: Homo sapiens (human)
Lineage: Eukaryota; Metazoa; Chordata; Mammalia; Primates; Hominidae
Description: non-protein coding lnc-CXorf51A-6:1
Source: RNAcentral